GAUGAACGCUGGCGGCGUGCCUAAUACAUGCAAGUCGAGCGAACAGACUAUGAGCUUGCUCCUCUGACGUUAGCGGCUGACGUGUGAGUAACACGUGGAUAACCUACCUAUAAGACUGGUAUAACUUCGGGAAACCGGUGCUAAUACCGGAUAAUAUUUUGAACCGCAUGGUUCUAUAGUUAAAGACGGUUUUGCUGUCACUUAUAGAUGGAUCCGCGCCGCAUUAGCUAGUUGGUAAGGUAACGGCUUACCAAGGCAACGAUGCGUAGCCGACCUGAGAGGGUGAUCGGCCACACUGGAACUGAGACACGGUCCAGACUCCUACGGGAGGCAGCAGUAGGGAAUCUUCCGCAAUGGGCGAAAGCCUGACGGAGCAACGCCGCGUGAGUGAUGAAGGUCUUCGGAUCGUAAAACUCUGUUAUUAGGGAAGAACAAAUGUGUAAGUAACUAUGCACGUCUUGACGGUACCUAAUCAGAAAGCCACGGCUAACUACGUG
This 497-nucleotide ribosomal RNA is filed under the name uncultured bacterium. RNAcentral's name for it is "partial 16S ribosomal RNA". It matches the Rfam family "Bacterial small subunit ribosomal RNA", at positions 28 to 507 of the family's 1533-position model. The record is from RNAcentral.